Molecule: ribosomal RNA, 568 nt
Filed under: uncultured bacterium
Lineage: Bacteria
Description: partial 16S ribosomal RNA
Rfam family: Bacterial small subunit ribosomal RNA
Source: RNAcentral
UGGGGAAUAUUGGACAAUGGGCGCAAGCCUGAUCCAGCCAUGCCGCGUGUGUGAAGAAGGCCUUAGGGUUGUAAAGCACUUUCAGUGGGGAGGAAGGGUGUUGUGUUAAUAGCACAGCAUUUUGACGUUACCCACAGAAGAAGCACCGGCUAACUCCGUGCCAGCAGCCGCGGUAAUACGGAGGGUGCAAGCGUUAAUCGGAAUUACUGGGCGUAAGGCGCACGCAGGCGGCUUUUUAAGUCGGAUGUGAAAGCCCCGGGCUCAACCUGGGAAUUGCAUCUGAUACUGGGAAGCUAGAGUAUGUGAGAGGGGGGUAAAAUUCCAAGUGUAGCGGUGAAAUGCGUAGAGAUUUGGAGGAAUACCAGUGGCGAAGGCGGCCCUCUGGCACAAUACUGACGCUCAGGUGCGAAAGCGUGGGGAGCAAAACAGGAUUAGAUACCCUGGUAGUCCACGCCGUAAACGAUGUCUACUAGAUGUUCGUGGUCUUGUACCGUGAGUAUCGCAGCUAACGCAUUAAGUAGACCGCCUGGGGAGUACGGUCGCAAGAUUAAAACUUAAAUGAAUUGAC